Molecule: ribosomal RNA, 375 nt
Filed under: uncultured alpha proteobacterium GT38-2b
Lineage: Bacteria; Pseudomonadati; Pseudomonadota; Alphaproteobacteria
Description: bacterial SSU rRNA
Rfam family: Bacterial small subunit ribosomal RNA
Source: RNAcentral
CAGAUAUGAACCUUCAGUUCGGCUGGCGGGAACACAAGUUCUGCAUGGCUGUCGUCAGCUCGUGUCGUGAGAUGUUGGGUUAAGUCCCGCAACGAGCGCAACCCUCGCCCUUAGUUGCCAUCAUUCAGUUGGGCACUCUGAGGGGACUGCCGGUGAUAAGCCGCGAGGAAGGUGGGGAUGACGUCAAGUCCACAUGGCCCUAACAGGUUGGGCUACACACGUGCUACAAUGGCGGUGACAAUGGGACGCAAUGGGGCAACCCUGCGCAAAUCUCAAAAAACCGUCUCAGUUCGGAUUGCUCUCUGCAACUCGAGAGCAUGAAGUCGGGAUCGCUAGUCAUCGUAGAUCAGCAAGCUGACAGUGAAUACGUUCCCG